Molecule: long non-coding RNA, 216 nt
Filed under: Gallus gallus (chicken)
Lineage: Eukaryota; Metazoa; Chordata; Aves; Galliformes; Phasianidae
Source: RNAcentral
UGGGGGACACAGUAUGGCUUUGAGGGAACAUUUCUCCUCUUCCUCUGGAAGAAACCCAGUCUGAGACUCACUUGUGCUCACAGACUCAUUGUUAUCUGUCUCCUCUGUUGUUCGAGCCAUCUGGUAUGCCAAAUUAGGCUGCUCUGGCUGAUACCUCAAUACCAAUACGCAGGCUGCCACCAACGAGUAAGCCAGGAGGGUCCCAAUAGACAUGAG